RNAcentral lists this ribosomal RNA (312 nucleotides) under Limnonectes sp. 'duboisi'. Its description in RNAcentral is "partial 12S ribosomal RNA". It matches the Rfam family "Bacterial small subunit ribosomal RNA", at positions 860 to 1346 of the family's 1533-position model. The record is from RNAcentral. Lineage: Eukaryota; Metazoa; Chordata; Amphibia; Anura; Dicroglossidae.
CCAACCAACGCCAGGGAACUACGAGCCCAGCUUAAAACCCAAAGGACUUGACGGUGUCCCACCCAACUAGAGGAGCCUGUUCUAUAAUCGAUAAUCCACGAUUUACCCAACCCCAUUUUGCCACUCAGCCUGUAUACCUCCGUCGUAAGCUUACCAUAUGAAUGCCUACAGUAAGUCUAAUGGUCUAACACCAAUACGUCAGGUCAAGGUGCAGCUUAUAAUAGGGAAAGCAAUGGGCUACAAUUUCUAAACUAGAACAUACGAAAUGCUAUCUGAAACACAGCCACGAAGGCGGAUUUAGUAGUAAAAAGG